This 435-nucleotide ribosomal RNA is filed under the name uncultured bacterium. RNAcentral describes it as "bacterial SSU rRNA". It matches the Rfam family "Bacterial small subunit ribosomal RNA", at positions 43 to 524 of the family's 1533-position model. The record is from RNAcentral.
CACGGCCUAACACAUGCAAGUCGAACGCACCUUCGGGUGAGUGGCAGACGGGUGAGUCACACGUGGGAACGUGCCCUUCGGUUCGGAAUAACUCAGGGAAACUUGAGCUAAUACCGGAUACGCCCCCAGGGGGGAAAGGUUUACUGCCGAAGGAUCGGCCCGCGUCUGAUUAGCUAGUUGGUGGGGUAAUGGCCUACCAAGGCGACGAUCAGUAGCUGGUCUGAGAGGAUGAUCAGCCACACUGGGACUGAGACACGGCCCAGACUCCUACGGGAGGCAGCAGUGGGGAAUAUUGGACAAUGGGCGAAAGCCUGAUCCAGCCAUGCCGCGUGAGUGAUGAAGGCCUUAGGGUUGUAAAGCUCUUUUAUCCGGGAAGAUAAUGACUGUACCGGAAGAAUAAGCCCCGGCUAACUUCGUGCCAGCAGCCGCGGUAAU